RNAcentral lists this long non-coding RNA (2439 nucleotides) under Sus scrofa (pig). The record is from RNAcentral. Lineage: Eukaryota; Metazoa; Chordata; Mammalia; Artiodactyla; Suidae.
CUUGGAGGAGGUCCUUAGCUUGACGCCUUACCAUUGGCGGUCGGCAACCUCUCUAUCAGUUGAUUGGAGAGAGUGCAUGUCCAUCAAGGUCACGCUUGAGACUAGCAGAGGCGAAACCAGCGGGAAGACGACUUCGCCACCAAGGGCGGGCGGGCGUGCUGGGAUACUCCGGGUGAGUGGGACGCACUGGGCGGGGUUUCGCCGUUCCGAGGAUGUCGGGGAAGGGGGGGUCACUGCCAGAUGGAGGUUCCGGUUCCGGUGCAGUGGCUGGCUGGUUGCGUUGCUACGGCAGCGCGGUUGAGCGCUCUCAUCUGUGUGAUCGGGGCUUCGCUGACUUUCCGGCCUACUUAAGCCCCUGGGCCUAGGCCCAGGAAGGGUUUGUUGAACCGGGAGCUAAGAAGGGAAUUGGCUCGUUCGACAGACGUUUUCUGCGCAGCUGUGACGUGCAAGGCACGGGGCCGGUGCGGGACCUCCAGAGAGACCUGUGCCCAAAGCUUGAGAAAUGAGAAGCAGGUACAAAGCAAUGUGGGGUGCAGAGGAGGGAAAGGCAGUUUCCUUAGACCCACUGCUUUCUCUAGUCUCCAUUGUGCUUAUUACACCUUGACACGUGUUUGCUAACUUGUUUGUUGACUUCUCUCCCGGACCCUCGACUUCAUUCACUGCUGUAUUCUCAGUACGUAGAACAGUGCUUGGAACGUGGCGGGUGCACAUAUUGGUGGAAAGAACGAUUCCCGGGAGAGCGGGGCUCAGCGACAUCGCCAAGUGAUCUGUAGUCUUGGAGCCGCCCAGGGUUGGUGGUACCCUAGAGCACACCAGACUUGCAGAGAAAGCAGACUCAGAGGAAGCUGAGGCAUAACUGCUCAAGAGCCAGCAGUACGAUGUGCAAUUUUCCUCUGAUAGUUCCUGGGUACUGUUGCCACGGUGAUAAUGGCUGUGCCAGUGCCGUUAUCUAUCAACCGACAGUAAGAGCAGCUUUUUGCAGUCAGAUAUUGUUUAACAGAUGGAGUGGUUUCUGUUGGACACUAAGUACUGCUACAAGUUACUUUUUUUAAAAAUUAUUUUAGGAGUUUCUGUUGUGACUAAGCGGAAACGAAUCGCCCUAGCAUCCAUGACGACGCAGGUUUGAUCCCUGGCCUUGCUCAGUGGGCUAAGGAAUCCCGGUUGCCAUGAGAGCUGUGGUGUAGGUCGCAGACCAGCUCGGAUCUGGUGUUGCUGUGGCUGUGGUGUAGGCCAGGGGCUACAGCUAGGAUUCUAUCCCUAGCCUGGAACCUCCAUAUACUGCGGAUUCGGCCCUAAAAAGACCAAAAAAAAAAAAAAAAAUUUUUUUUUUUUUUGUUACUGAAAUGUAGUUGAUCUACAAUGUUGUGUUAAUUUCUGCUGUACAUCAAAGUGAUUCAUUUAUACAUAUAUAUUCUUUUCCAUUAUGGCUUAUCACAGGAUAUUGAAUAGAGUUGCCUGUGCUAUAUAGCAGGACCUUGUUGUUUAUCCAUUCUAUGCAUACUAGUUAGCAGCUGCUAAUCUCAAAUUCCCACUCCAUCCCUCCCCCGCCCCUCACAUUAUUUUUUUUUAAUUUAAAGUAGUUUAUAAGUUGUUGCUGGAGGUGAUCUGCUUCGGAGGCACUCCCAUUUAAACAUCGGAAAAUUAGUACAUGUGCUCUCAGCCAGUGAGUUCUCCAAAUACGCAUUUAGCAGGAAACUCGAGUCCAGUAAACUGAAAAUAAACUGAAGACGUUACUCAGAAGUGCUCCUCGGUGACAUACGUAUUUUAUCCCCAUCAAUGUUACUGAUGUGUAGUAGUUUUCCAAUGUAGGACCCAAAAUUGAUCAGCUUCUUAAAGAAUCCUAUUGUUUUUUCAUCCCCCAGAUUCCUGGAUUCCAGGUAAAUCAGAGGAACAAACCUGAACAGAAAUAUACAGGAAGUGAUGUGAUGCUGAAGCUUAACGCUUAUUUCAGAAGUCUGGUAUCUGGUGCUCUUAACAGCAGAAACUAUAUUAUUUGCAAAAUCACCACGCUUUUACUUGUAUUAUAUAGUAAUUUUUUAAAAAAUAAAUAUUGACAAUUUGUUCUUGAAAGCCUGAAUUGUUUAUUGCCUACCCUAAACUGUUUAAUUCUGCUCUUGUGUCAACUGGAAUAGGGAAGAGUAUUUGCAAGCUUAAGAUCUGAGGAUCCAGGAGUUCCCGUGGUGGCUCAGUGGUUAACGAAUCCAACUAGGAACCAUGAGGCCUUGCUCAGUGGGUUGAGGAUCCAGCAUUGCCAUGAGCUGUGGUGUAGGUCACAGAUGCGGCUCAGAUCUGGUGUUGCUGUGGGCUGUGGUAUAGGCCGGUGGCUACAGCUCUGACUGAACCACUAGCCUGGGAACCUCCAUAUGCUGUGGUGUAGCCCUAGAAAAGGCAAAAGGACAAAAAAAUCUGAGGAUCCAGAGUUGUAGAGCUAGUCUUGGG